UGUUGUAACCCAUUUCUGGGUCCCCACAUAAAAAAUAAUAAAAUAUAAAAAAAUUCAAAAAAAUAUAUUAUCAAAAAAUAGAACAGUGAAAAAAUGCCAAAGCGCCCUAAAAAUGCUUAAAAAUUGAUUGAGGAUGUUCAAAAAUCAAAAAUUAAUUUUUGACAGUAUAUCAUUGACCGAUGAGAGCCCCGAUGAUAAAGAAAAUUCAAUUUGUGGAAGAAAAAUGCAAAAUCAGAAGUUUAUGGACUCAAUUAAAUUUUAUUAAAGGUUUAAUUGCAUUUAUGAAGAUUUUAAUUGCAAGAAAAAUUGAUUUUGGAGUUAAUUUGGGCUUUAAUUAGGAGAAAUUAAUUUUCUGGGUCAAAUUAUAAUUUUUGGAAGUUAAUUUGGUCAAAUCAGGGGCUUAAUUGCAUAAAUAUUGAAGUUUAAUGGCCAAUUAGGGACUUAAUUGAAGAAAUCCGAGACCAAGGACUAAAAUGCAAAACGCGCGCAAAUUGAGGGCUGAAAUUUGAAUCUGAAAAGUUUUGGCGCCUUUUCCUUUUAAAUGAAACGGCGCGUUUUGACCAAAACGGCGCCGUUUCAUUCACUGUUGCAAAAAAAAAAA
Molecule: long non-coding RNA, 601 nt
Filed under: Populus tremula
Lineage: Eukaryota; Viridiplantae; Streptophyta; Magnoliopsida; Malpighiales; Salicaceae
Description: long non-coding RNA (PTRE_LNC000095)
Source: RNAcentral